This 30-nucleotide non-coding RNA is filed under the name Rattus norvegicus (Norway rat). Lineage: Eukaryota; Metazoa; Chordata; Mammalia; Rodentia; Muridae. The record is from RNAcentral.
UCCCUGAUGUUUUGAAGGACAACAGGUUGC